UCGGGAAUUUUGGGCAAUGGGCGAAAGCCUGACCCAGCAACGCCGCGUGAGGGAUGAAGUAUUUCGGUAUGUAAACCUCGAAAGAAUGGGAAGAAUAAAUGACGGUACCAUUUAUAAGCUCCGGCUAACCACGUGCCAGCAGCCGCGGUAAUACGUAGGGAGCAAGCGUUGUUCGGAUUUACUGGGCGUAAAGGGCGCGUAGGCGGCGCGGUAAGUCACUUGUGAAAUCUCUGAGCUUAACUCAGAACGGCCAAGUGAUACUGCUGUGCUAGAGUGCGGAAGAGGCAACCGGAAUUCUUGGUGUAGCGGUGAAAUGCGUAGAUUGCAAGAGGAACACCUGAGGCGAAGGCGGGUUGCUGGGCCGACACCGACGCUGAUGCGCGAAAGCCAGGGGAGCAAAC
Molecule: ribosomal RNA, 401 nt
Filed under: uncultured bacterium
Lineage: Bacteria
Description: bacterial SSU rRNA
Rfam family: Bacterial small subunit ribosomal RNA
Source: RNAcentral